Molecule: ribosomal RNA, 484 nt
Filed under: uncultured bacterium
Lineage: Bacteria
Description: partial 16S ribosomal RNA
Rfam family: Bacterial small subunit ribosomal RNA
Source: RNAcentral
AUUGAACGCUGGCGGCAGGCCUAACACAUGCAAGUCGAGCGGAUGAAGGGAGCUUGCUCCUGGAUUCAGCGGCGGACGGGUGAGUAAUGCCUAGGAAUCUGCCUGGUAGUGGGGGAUAACGUCCGGAAACGGGCGCUAAUACCGCAUACGUUCUGAGGGAGAAAGUGGGGGAUCUUCGGACCUCACGCUAUCAGAUGAGCCUAGGUCGGAUUAGCUAGUUGGUGGGGUAAAGGCCUACCAAGGCGACAAUCCGUAACUGGUCUGAGAGGAUGAUCAGUCACACUGGAACUGAGACACGGUCCAGACUCCUACGGGAGGCAGCAGUGGGGAAUAUUGGACAAUGGGCGAAAGCCUGAUCCAGCCAUGCCGCGUGUGUGAAGAAGGUCUUCGGAUUGUAAAGCACUUUAAGUUGGGAGGAAGGGCAGUAAGUUAAUACCUUGCUGUUUUGACGUUACCAACAGAAUAAGCACCGGCUAACUUCGUG